UCGACUUGGCCCCCACCGACACGACUUUGCUAUUUGGUUCGCGACGAUGACAAUAUUUUACCAUUCUGCCCGCGUGCGCUAUCACAAUCAACAAGUCGCAGGGACAGACGUUCCAGUACGUUGGCAACGCCCAGCAAUCGGGUGCUGGGCUGGAUUGGGACUGAGCCAGCUCAAGAGGAAUGCUCUGGGAACACUCGCCUGUGGAUCCCACCCGGUUCAAGCGCCGGGCAGCACGGCCGUUUAAAAGGCGCCCCAUGGCACAGAGCGGGUGAAAGGAACCCGCGCCGACCUCGGCUCCCCCGGGCGGCACCGAGGCGGAGGAGGCGAAGGUCACCGCGGGGUUCCUUACCGCAGGCGACGGACGCUCAUACGGACGGCGCCCGUUCGCCGACCCCACCGCGGCUGUGGGGUUGCCACCGGUGCCGGUGUUCCCGUUUGAGGGCAGCUUUCCUGGAAAAAUCCAGGUUUUUUGCUCCUUAGCUGUGGCGACCCCCCGUUUGCUGUGACAAAACUCCAAUCGAUGGACCGUCCCACGUCUCCUAACAAUGGCCACCGCAGUUUCACAGCUGCGCUGGAUCUACCAACUACUCCAGGCGCGCGUGGCAAACCACCACGCAAACUCCGGUCAUCCUCGCAGCAGCAGCAGCGGCGGUGGCGGCAGCGGCGGCGGCAGCGGCGGCUUUUGGCUGGCCAUCGAACAAAGGCGGUCACCGCAUCGCGUGGCGCUUUCGGACGCACUUCUGCGGCCGUCUGGAACGCUCUUCCUUCCGAUGUUAGGAAACAAACAAUGCUAUGAACUUUUACAUCUGAAUUGAAAGCGAAUUUUUUUAACUGCUUUUUGUGUUUUUGUCCUUCCUCCACACCUCGGAUUAGUACGGUUGGAUACAUACGUUGUGAAAUAACUAUGUAUGCGUAUAACUUCGAAUGGAAAGUGUGCACACGAUUGUGGAACGAGAGAAUAACCUCAAGCAAGGUGGUGGCAGCGAAACUCUAAGAGGAGCGGUCUUUGAAGGACAUUUUUCAACUGUGCCACAACUGAGAAAAUGUACGUAUCAUUAGGAAUCGAAAGCGUGGUGUGUCAUUGACCGCAAUGACCUCUUGGCCUAGCGUGCGAAUUCCCGCGUGCACAAGUGUCAUAGGAUUGCUAACUCUUAGGUAGAAGAAGACUAUCUCAAAAUGCCAGAAGAGGGGAGAACUACAGUGUAAAGGCAUUGUGUUUGGAAUGUGUGCUGAAUUAUUAAGCAAUGUCCCAGGAAGACGUACAGAUUUCCCUGUACAGCGUCCAGUAAAUAUGGAUCUUUGGUCCAACGGUUUCCCAACGUUGACACAAUGAUUCCAACCACAUGCCAAUGGUUAGUCCAACAUUGGCAUGUUUAGUUUAUAAAUGUUUAUAUAGUUUGUUUACUUGGCAGCUGCCUCAAACUAUUUUAUUUAUCAAAGAAAGCUCACGAAGCUAUUCGCUCUUUUUCAGAGGCUACCUGGCUACACGUGUUGGCUCAUCGAAGUGGCUUUCUAUCAUCACACAUGCGAAUUCAUAAUAGCAGCCACGUAAUAUAAACGCACGUUUAUAAACGUGGAGGCCAAAACCAGUGGACAUGGAGAAAAAUCCACACGACCACUUCGGGGAGAAAGAGAAUACACAAACUCCAAUUAUACAACAAGCAAGCGCCAUGGUCCAGGUUGACACCCACGACCUCCUGCGCACCGGGCGAGGGAGAUAACAUCUCCUCACCACAGUUUCAGUUGCAUUUGUUUGGAAUAACCCUGUGAGCCAUUCGGCUCUUGAUUCGGGUGCAACCGCAACAAACAAUAAAAUUACAAGAUACAUUUAAAAUUUACUGUACGCAAAUUUAAACAUCCCCUACAAAAACUAUGAAAUCUUCCAUAAAAAGCACCAUUUGUUUAUGCUGCGUACAAAAAUGUGCAAAAAGUCCCAUUUUGAUGUUUGAUCACAAUAACAAUCAUAAUACAAUUUAGAUUUUAAAAAAAUGUGUCUAACUCUAUACUACAUCAAAAAAUCGGGCUAAACUAAACCUUUCUAGAAAUUACUAAAAUAAUGCUAUAAAAACAAUGUAACGCCCCAGAGGACAAUCCUGGGAAAACCAGGACGGCUGGCAACCCUAAGCGCGUCCGUAGCCCGCGGACUUGGCACGCACCAGCAUGGUGGCCACGUUGCUGGGGAAGGCGGUGGCCAUGUAGAGGAAGCACAUGGUGUCGGCGGAGGCCGUGCCGAAGCCGUCGAGGCAACGGAUCACGAUGCACAGGGUGAUGAACGCCGUGCCGCUUGGAGCCUUGUCCAGCAGCCUGCGCGACACACAACGACCGGCACGGUGCGGUCACAACCGCGAGCCGCAGGAGGCCGCCCCGGAUAAUAUUUAAAGCUGCUGCAGGCAGGCGCGUCAACCGUCAAAAGGUACGCGCCGUCAUCUGCUUGCGGUGGACGCGCGGAAUGCCUCGGUUGUCGGUUGAUGUUGAGAGGAGGUGUCGUCGUCCAAAAUUUGGCGAAUGUGAAAAAUGACACGCAAAUGACCAAUUUGGGAAAAUGCAUGGUGAUGUCACCCCCCUCCCACCACGAACCCACCCCCACCCACCUCCCCGCUGCGAAACUUACCCUGCGGAAAAUGAGUCUUGGGACUCGGUGAAGCUUUCCCGGGUGAGUAAAUGUUACCAAUAAAACAGUCACGUGUUCAUGAAA
This is a non-coding RNA of Petromyzon marinus (sea lamprey), 2695 nucleotides long. Lineage: Eukaryota; Metazoa; Chordata; Hyperoartia; Petromyzontiformes; Petromyzontidae. The record is from RefSeq and is a predicted model, not a curated record.